This 421-nucleotide ribosomal RNA is filed under the name uncultured microorganism. RNAcentral's name for it is "bacterial SSU rRNA". It matches the Rfam family "Bacterial small subunit ribosomal RNA", at positions 9 to 429 of the family's 1533-position model. The record is from RNAcentral.
GAGUUUGAUCCUGGCUCAGAUUGAACGCUGGCGGCAUGCCUUACACAUGCAAGUCGAACGGCAGCAUGAUCUAGCUUGCUAGAUUGAUGGCGAGUGGCGAACGGGUGAGUAAUACAUCGGAACGUGCCCUGUAGUGGGGAUAACUAGUCGAAAGAUUAGCUAAUACCGCAUACGACCUGAGGGUGAAAGUGGGGGACCGCAAGGCCUCAUGCUAUAGGAGCGGCCGAUGUCUGAUUAGCUAGUUGGUGGGGUAAAGGCCCGACCAAGGCGACGAUCAGUAGCUGGUCUGAGAGGACGAUCAGCCACACUGGGACUGAGACACGGCCCAGACUCCUACGGGAGGCAGCAGUGGGGAAUUUUGGACAAUGGGCGAAAGCCUGAUCCAGCAAUGCCGCGUGUGUGAAGAAGGCCUCGGUGUAAG